UGGCGUUGACUCCAAUUCAAGAAUCACGACUUCANGACGGCUCCGUAAAAUCCAGGGGACACUCGCACUCCUCCCGCCGUCGUCUCUCCGCUGACUCCGGCAUUGACGACCCGGUAUCGUAACCCAAGUGCAUCCAACCGCCGUUGUAAUUGAGCGGGGUAGGUCUCAUCCGCGGCGACGCCAAGUCCGGCCGUCAGGCUGUCUCCGAACGCGACGAUUUUUGGUCGAUCAUCCGCUGAUGGUGGCGCGGCAAGAGGCACGGCGGUGAACACACCCGUCAACCACACCAGAACAAUGCACCCAAUACCUGCGCGUCUCCCCGGUGAUUGCAAUUUCAAUCGUCGCUCCAUCUCCGUACAGUAUAAUACCAUCUCGCGAACCGUCCCCCGUUGGGGAGGAAUACCACGACACAUGAUUUGCGUCACACAGCUUUCAAUGCGUCUGGCAGCCGGAGGUCGAGCCGUGCCUAUUCUGGACAAUCUCUCUUUGGAGAUUCCGGACAAGCAAAUGGUCGCAAUCGUCGGGCCAUCGGGCAGCGGGAAAUCGACUCUCCACGGAUUGAUGGCCGGCCUCGAUCGACCGACAUCUGGCUCCAUCCCGCUGGAUGGCCAGGAAUUGACGACCAUGUCAGAAAGUGCGCUGGCCCGUUUUCGAC
RNAcentral lists this ribosomal RNA (655 nucleotides) under uncultured archaeon. RNAcentral describes it as "partial 16S ribosomal RNA". The record is from RNAcentral.